CUGAAGCAAUCGGAAGUGGUUCCAAGAAAAGCCUCUAAGCUUCAGUCAUACGAGACCGUACCGCAAACCGACACAGGUGGGCGAGAUGAGUAUUCUAAGGCGCUUGAGAGAACUCGGGAGAAGGAACUCGGCAAAUUGGUACCGUAACUUCGGGAAAAGGUACGCCCCGGUAGCUUGGUCACUUUACUGUGAUAGGGCGAAAGGGUUGCAAUAAACUGGUGGCUGCGACUGUUUAAUAAAAACACAGCACUCUGCAAACACGAAAGUGGACGUAUAGGGUGUGACGCCUGCCCGGUGCUGGAAGAUUAAAUGAUGGGGUGCAAGCUCUUGAUUGAAGUCCCAGUAAACGGCGGCCGUAACUAUAACGGUCCUAAGGUAGCGAAAUUCCUUGUCGGGUAAGUUCCGACCUGCACGAAUGGCGUAACGAUGGCCACACUGUCUCCUCCCGAGACUCAGCGAAGUUGAAAUGUUUGUGAUGAUGCAAUCUACCCGCGGCUAGACGGAAAGACCCCAUGAACCUUUACUGUAGCUUUGCAUUGGACUUUGAACCAAUCUGUGUAGGAUAGGUGGGAGGCUUUGAAGCGGGGACGCUAGUUCUCGUGGAGCCAACCUUGAAAUACCACCCUGGUUUGUUUGAGGUUCUAACCUUGGUCCGUUAUCCGGAUCGGGGACAGUGCAUGGUAGGCAGUUUGACUGGGGCGGUCUCCUCCUAAAGUGUAACGGAGGAGUUCGAAGGUACGCUAGAUACGGUCGGACAUCGUGUUGAUAGUGCAAUGGCAUAAGCGUGCUUAACUGCGAGACUGACAAGUCGAGCAGGUACGAAAGUAGGACAUAGUGAUCCGGUGGUUCUGUAUGGAAGGGCCAUCGCUCAACGGAUAAAAGGUACUCUGGGGAUAACAGGCUGAUUCCUCCCAAGAGUUCAUAUCGACGGGGGAGUUUGGCACCUCGAUGUCGGCUCAUCACAUCCUGGGGCUGUAGCCGGUCCCAAGGGUAUGGCUGUUCGCCAUUUAAAGUGGUACGUGAGCUGGGUUUAAAACGUCGUGAGACAGUUUGGUCCCUAUCUGCCGUGGGCGUUGGAAAUUUGAAGGGGGCUGCUCCUAGUACGAGAGGACCGGAGUGGACGAACCUCUGGUGUACCGGUUGUCACGCCAGUGGCAUUGCCGGGUAGCUAAGUUCGGAAGAGAUAACCGCUGAAAGCAUCUAAGCGGGAAACUUGCCUUGAGAUGAGAUUUCCCAGAGCCUUGAGCUCUUUGAAGGGUCGUUCGAGACCAGGACGUUGAUAGGCUGGGUGUGGAAGUGCAGUAAUGCAUUAAGCUAACCAGUACUAAUUGCCCGUACGGCUUGUCCCU
RNAcentral lists this ribosomal RNA (1349 nucleotides) under Janthinobacterium saanense. RNAcentral's name for it is "partial 23S ribosomal RNA". It matches the Rfam family "Bacterial large subunit ribosomal RNA", at positions 1585 to 2925 of the family's 2925-position model. The record is from RNAcentral. Lineage: Bacteria; Pseudomonadati; Pseudomonadota; Betaproteobacteria; Burkholderiales; Oxalobacteraceae.